RNAcentral lists this ribosomal RNA (466 nucleotides) under uncultured bacterium. Its description in RNAcentral is "partial 16S ribosomal RNA". It matches the Rfam family "Bacterial small subunit ribosomal RNA", at positions 28 to 507 of the family's 1533-position model. The record is from RNAcentral.
GACGAACGCUGGCGGCGUGCUUAACACAUGCAAGUCGAACGGAAAGGCCCAGCUUGCUGGGUACUCGAGUGGCGAACGGGUGUGUGACACGCGUGUGUUCUGCGCUCAACUCUGGGAGAAGCCUUGAGAACUGGGGCUAUUAUCGGAGAUAAGCAAUCGUGCCGUGGGGGGGGGGGGGGAGCGUUUGCGGUUGGGGAUGGGGUCGCGCCGUAUCAGCUUGUUGGUGGGGUAGUGGCCUACCAAGGCGACGACCGGUAGCCGACCUGAGAGGGUGACCGGCCACACUGGGACUGAGAUACGGCCCAGACUACUACGGGAGGCAGCAGUGGGGAAUAUUGCACAAUGGGCGGAAGCCUGAUGCAGCAACGCCGCGUGGGGGAUGACGGCCUUCGGGUUGUAAACCUCUUUCACCUGGGACGAAGCGUGAGUGACGGUACCGGGAGAAGAAGCACCGGCUAACUACGUG